RNAcentral lists this ribosomal RNA (257 nucleotides) under uncultured Actinomycetales bacterium. RNAcentral's name for it is "partial 16S ribosomal RNA". It matches the Rfam family "Bacterial small subunit ribosomal RNA", at positions 76 to 334 of the family's 1533-position model. The record is from RNAcentral. Lineage: Bacteria; Bacillati; Actinomycetota; Actinomycetes; Actinomycetales.
CGUUUUGUGGGGUGCUCGAGUGGCGAACGGGUGAGUAACACGUGAGUAACCUGCCCUUGACUUUGGGAUAACUUCAGGAAACUGGGGCUAAUACCGGAUAGGAGCUCCUGCUGCGUGGUGGGGGUUGGAAAGUUUCGGCGGUUGGGGAUGGACUCGCGGCUUAUCAGCUUGUUGGUGGGGUAGUGGCUUACCAAGGCUUUGACGGGUAGCCGGCCUGAGAGGGUGACCGGCCACAUUGGGACUGAGAUACGGCCCAG